Molecule: ribosomal RNA, 253 nt
Filed under: uncultured bacterium
Lineage: Bacteria
Description: partial 16S ribosomal RNA
Rfam family: Bacterial small subunit ribosomal RNA
Source: RNAcentral
UACGUAGGGCGCAAGCGUUAUCCGGAAUCACUGGGCGUAAAGCGCACGUAGGCGGACUUGUAGGUCAAUUGUGAAAUACCCAAGCUCAACUUGGGAACUGCAGUUGAAACCACUUGUCUUGAAUACUUGAGAGGGUGGGGGAAUACCUGGUGGAGAAGUGAAAUUCGUAGAGAUCAGGUGGAACACCGGAGGCGAAGGCGCCUGCCUGGCAAUGUAUUGACGCUGAGGUGCGAAAGUGCGGGGAGCAAACAGG